AACCUUUUUGAUUUGGAAAUAUUUCUGGCAAAAUUAAAUUCGUGUCGCAUAUGAUGCUGCCCUCCCACUGCCGGAUUUGGAAUGUUAGAAGCAGAAUGGUUAUGUUGGAAACGAUUCGAAUGUUUACGAACUUCGAAGACAAAGGCAAAGCCGAAGAAAACAUUUACUUCUUGAAAGAGCAAAGAGAAAAGCUGCGUUUAUUGCGUAAAAAAAUGCUGGAAGUGGAGGGUAGGCUGGAUGAAAGUAUCGAAGCUCUCGAGAAAGCCGUAAAAAUUACGAAAACCAUAAAAAAAGAUGAAACGAAAAAAAAAUAACAUGCAAUUGAAAUCGUCGUAACUAAUAAUGUGACACCAGUUAUUUUUAAAAAAUGCCGCGAAAUACGAAACCAAAAAGUUUUCCAAAUUUUUAUGUGAAUAGUAGAAAAAGUUGUUGUACUUGUAACGCUCA
Bactrocera neohumeralis is the source of this 447-nucleotide long non-coding RNA. RefSeq lists it as uncharacterized. NCBI's taxonomy places the organism in Eukaryota, Metazoa, Arthropoda, Insecta, Diptera, Tephritidae. The transcript is spliced from 3 exons. The record is from RefSeq and is a predicted model, not a curated record.